UGGUGAGCGAUGGAGAACUGGGGUUCAUGGGCAGAGUGGUUGGCUGCCCCACUGUCAGCCUGUUCUGAAAGAGGGAAUGACCCUCAGCUGAGCUGAGAUGUCGCUGGUGGAGACUCUAAGACUGUGGAUUCUGACUCCCUGGGCUCGGGAAGGACAGUGCUGGGAACAAGGGGCAGAAAGGCACGAUGAAGCUGGAGUGCCUCAUACCGCACCCAUGAAAGUGGCGAAGGACUCCCAGAACCAUUCCUGGGGGCCCGUGGGAACGAGGACUUUGGGGGCACAAGGAUGAGCUGAAGAAGUCUUCCUGAUUGUGGCUGUCAGAGGGAAGACAUGGCAUCGCGGUGGGCCAGAGUAUCAGCCUCAACUCCACCCACCUUUCAGGCUGCGGUCUCCGCCGUGGCCGCUGUGUGCAUUGGAGGGCACUUGGCAGCAUCCCCGGCCUCCCCACUAGAAAACCAGAUGCCAGGAGCAUCCGCACCCCUCCCCAAGGUGCAACCACCAAAAACGUCGCCAGAUAUUGCCAAAUGGCCCCGGGGGUGGGGACAAAUGCCCCUCCUCCCCCUUGAGGACUGCAGCUGGAACUCAAUGAAGAGCAGCGAAAGGGCCACAAGCCAAGACCUGAGCAGCAUCUAACAGCUGGAAAAGGCAAAGAUAUGGGAUCUCCUGGAGCCUCCAAGAGGAGCCAGCUCUGCAGACACCUUGAUUGCAGCCCAGCAAGGCCCAUGUCAGGCCUCUGGCCUCCAUAACUUGAUAAUAAAGUUGUGUUUUAGGCAAUUAAAUUUGUAGUUCUUUGUUACAGGAGCAAUAUAGAGAGGGACUAAUGAACUGCCAUUGUAUUAAACCACUGACAAUCAGAGUUGUUUGAUAAAGCAGUCAAGUCAACCUAAGUAAAACACUUCAGGACCAAGAAAUAAAGUCCUCACUUGAGGAUAGUGAGAUCUGAGAGCAGUAAAGCCACUUCCUUCUCGUGAGACCGACCCCUCUUGCAGACCUGCCUCUGGCCUGGCCCCAUGGAGUGGCAGGCCCCAGUCCUCUGCUCUUCGGGUCACAGGUGGCCCAGCAGGCUCUGCGCACAGCAUUUCGGCAGCACAGCAAUGCCUAACAUAAUACUCACUCCGGGAAAAAGCAAGCUGCAAGCUGUCAAUGCUAAGUCCCCCUAAUGCUUUAAUUGGUACUUACUCUAGUUAGUUCAUUUAAAAGUCCCCACCUCUGCCAGAUGCACAGUGAAGCUGACCCGACAAGAGGGCCUGACGGUGGCAGAGCAAUGUGAUAAUUAAUGCGUCCUGCUUUCCUCCGCUUGAAUUAAUGUUUUCAUGUCACUUAGACAUCACUCCUGGAAACCGUUCUGGUUUUCAGUAAUCAGCAGUUCUCCAUCCCAGAGCCCAGUAGAUAAUCAAUAAGUGGUUGCUGAGUGAACGAAUGGCUGAGUCAGAGAUCUCGAAGGGUCAGAUUUCACUUGGUUCAAGCCCCAAACAGUCUCUGAGAAAUUGAGCCAGGGAGGUCUCAGGGGGCCUCGAGAUGCCAGGGUACGAGCGAACUGUGGCUGGGAAGGUUGUGUAAAGAGGAAUACAAAGCAGCCCGGGCAUCCCAGUUACGGCCACAGAGGUGUCAGAGUGGCUAGGAGCCACGGCGUUCCCCCAGGCAGGGGCCACUCCCCAGCUGUGGGAGCAGAAGGGGCCCAGCAGGAGCCCGCGGGAGUCUCGGUGCCCGGAUGGAGCCAGAGCCCGAAUCCCGCAGCGCAGACGCCGCCCGGGGAGGCCCGCUCAGGAGGCGGCAUCGGAGUCCCGGUGCAGGAGAAGGCACCGGCCUGCAGAGGCCGGGGGAGGGAUUCGCUGCACCCGGCGGGAGAGUGGAGCGGUGGAAUGGCACAGAACGGCCUGGAGUCCGGCCUGGGGAAGGCCCAGGCAGGGAGCGGAAAAAAGGCCGGAGAGGGAGGCGGGGGUCAGAUCCGGGCUGGAUCGUGAAGGCAGCAGAGGGCUUCGGAAGGAGCCCAGGCAGGGCUGUGCUGCGGCCUGGUUUUCCUGCCGGUGCUGAGGACGGCGGCCGCCACGGGAGUGUGUGCUCCGUGCUUCUGCGCCGCUCCAGGCCUUUGGGAUCUCGCCCUCUGCAGUGCAGAGAACUCACUGGGAGGAGACGAGCGAGGCGGCGGUGGCUGCGCAGCUGGUGGGUGGGGACUGGGGGGCGGGCGAGCGCUGUCCUCGGCUUGGGAGGAAGCACAGCCCCCGGACGCCCGCCAGGGGCCUCAGGGAGAAAGAAGGGGCGCCACAGCCAAGGCUCCACAGCGGUCCCUGCGACUGGGGCCCGGAGAAGGUGCAGGAAGGAAAGAGAAAGCUGGUGGCCGCCUGCCUCCAGGGCGGGCCUCCGAGCGGUGCCCUGUCCCAGCCACAGCAUCACGACCCCUCUCCCGGCCGGGCCGCGGGCGAGGUUCCCAGGCCUUCAGGGGCGAGAUCCGGGGUCUCCAGAGAGAGGUAGCAGAGUAAGAACGGCCGUGGGUAGCGCGCCCCUCCGCCCCGCAGCUAUCCGCAGGUCUCCGGCAAGCUGAGCUGACCUGCUCCAUCGAUGAGGUCUCUGUUCAGUUACCACCUGCUCUGAGAAGCCUUCUCUGCCAGGGUGACUCAUGAUCCUGAUUUGCCAGGACUCAGUGGGUUCCUGGAACAGCCUGGGAGCCGGGGGUGGUGGUGGCUUUCCUGAACCCUGACUUUGUCUGAUGUAAGCCCGGCUCACACUGUUCAUUCACUCUGAUCCUCAGUUACUUUACAGCAAUUAACACCAAUCUGUUCUCAAAACGCGAGGUCCUCUUGCUCAGGGCUGUGCUCCUAGCAUGCAGCCCUUGCCUGACACAUGGCUGACAUUUCAGUGCACAUUUAAACGAGUAGAUCAACUGCUCCAUCUUCCCCCAGAAGCUCUGUCUGUCCCUCCACAACUUGGCUCAUGCCAUCUCUUCCGUAAGCGCCGUGUGCUCUUCUCUCUCAGAAAAAAACUAUUUGUUUCUUGACAGCUCAGCUCAAAUGCCAGCUUCUCUCGACCCCAAGCACUAGCAUGGGUCCUGAAACCCUGGUGCCCUCCACAAUGUGUAUUCAAUAAAUGACUCUACAUUUUUCCCUGUAGAUGUCAGUUUUAUUAACUUUGGCCUAUGUUUUCUGAAUUAUUUUUGAAUCUUUAUUUUGUGAUCCAAUCUAUUAGUGACCCAUAACAGGCUAUGUCAUCCACAAUUAAAUAAAUGUGCACUCUCUGU
RNAcentral lists this long non-coding RNA (3235 nucleotides) under Pongo abelii (Sumatran orangutan). RNAcentral describes it as "lincRNA". The record is from RNAcentral. Lineage: Eukaryota; Metazoa; Chordata; Mammalia; Primates; Hominidae.